GGUUUCGGUUCUCCUCUACAAAUACCCACGUACGUGCCCCGGGUUCUUCAGCCACGUCCACAGUCGCACAAGCACUCUUCUAGUUCUAGCCAACCCGUACGUGCAAGCACCUCUGCACCAUCGGGUUUUCAGCAGCCAUGGCGCCGAAGGCCUCCCUCCUCGUGGGGCUCAGCCUGGUCCUCGUCUUCACCGUGGCCAACGCGGUGCGGCGACAGCUGCCCGACGCCGACUCCGGCGACCCCGACGCCGACGCCGUCCCACAGCAAGUGCCCCAAGAACGCGCUGAAGCUCGCUGCGUGCGCCGACGUCCUGGGCCUCGUCAGCGCCGAGGUCGGCCAGCCGCCGGCCGAGCCGUGCUGCAGCAUCCUCGGCGGCCUCGCCGACCUCGAGGCCGCCGUCUGCCUCUGCACGGCCAUCAAGGCCAACGUGCUCGGCAUCAGCCUCGACAUCCCCGUCAAGCUCAGCCUCCUCGUCAACUACUGCGGCAAGAACCUCCCAAGUGGCUUCAUUUGCGCUUGA
Molecule: ribosomal RNA, 519 nt
Filed under: Triticum aestivum (bread wheat)
Lineage: Eukaryota; Viridiplantae; Streptophyta; Magnoliopsida; Poales; Poaceae
Description: partial small subunit ribosomal RNA
Source: RNAcentral